This 69-nucleotide transfer RNA is filed under the name Marmota monax (woodchuck). RNAcentral's name for it is "tRNA.Ala". Lineage: Eukaryota; Metazoa; Chordata; Mammalia; Rodentia; Sciuridae. The record is from RNAcentral.
GAUAUAGCUCAGUGGUAGAGCAGCCCCUGCUUAGCAUGCAUGAGGCCCUGGGUUCAAUCCCCAGCACCA